AACCUGGUUGAUCCUGCCAGUAGUAUAUGCUUAACUCAGAGAUUAAGCCAUGCAUGUCUAAGUAUAAGUAAUAUUCGGCGAGACUGCGAAUGGUUCAUUAAAACAGUUAUAGUUUAUAUGGUCAUGUUUUUACAUGGAUAACCGUGGGAAACCAGAGCUAAUACAUGCUUAAAGGCCUUCGGGUUGUAUUUAUUAGUUUAAGCCAAUCGCAUUGCGGUUGUGACGAUUCAUAAUAACUGUUCGAAACGCAUCGAUAUGCGUUAGAUCACUCAAGUUUCUGCCCUAUCAUAUUUGAUGGUAGUUUAUUGGACUACCAUGAUUAUCACGGGUAACAGAGAAUUAGGGUUCGAUUCUGGAAAGUCAGCUUGAGAGACGGUCUGACAUUACUACGGUUAGCAGCAGGCGCGUAAAUUACCCAAUCUUGACUCAGGGAGGUAGUUAUGAGUAAUAACGGACCGGAAACACUGUUUCUAGUAUCGCAAUGGAUGUAAUCUAGACCAUUAUGUGAAAUCAAUUGGAGGGCAAGUCUGGUGCCAGCAGCCGCGGUAAUUCCAGCUCCAAUAGCGUAUUUUAAUGUUGCUGCAGUUAAAAAGCUCGUAGUUGAACCUCGGACCCAGAAACUUUAAGUUCGCUUAAUUCCAUUCUGAGGUCCUCCGAACGGGGCCUGUUUCGUGGUUAACCCCUCGAUCAGUUUAGCCGUUCACUUUACUUUGAAGAAAAUUGAGUGUUUCAGGCAGGCUUCGCUUGAAAAAUACAGCAUGGAAUAAUGGAAUAGGACUGUUUCUAUUUGAUUGGUUAUUAGAAGCAGUAAUGAUUAACAGGAACAGUUGGGGGCAUUUGUAUUAAGUAGUCAGAGGUGAAAUUCUUGGAUUUACUUAGGACAAACUAAUGCGAAAGCAUUUGCCAAGGAUGUUUUCAUUAAUCAAGAACGAAAGUUAGGGGAUCAAAGACGAUUAGAUACCGUCCUAGUCCUAACUAUAAACUAUGCCGACUAAGGAUUAUCAGGGCUUAUGUUCUGGUAGCACUUAAGGAGAAAUCAAAGUCUUUGGGUUCUUGGGGGAGUAUGGUCGCAAGGCUGAAACUUAAAGGAAUUGACGGAAGGGCACCACCAGGAGUGGAUCCUGCGGCUUAAUUUGAUUCAACACGGGGAAACUUACCAGGGCAAGACCUUGAGAGGAUUGACAGAUUGAAAGUUCUUUCUUGAUUAGAGGGAAAGUGGUGCAUGGCCGUUCUUAGUUGGUGUCUUGAGAUGUCAGGUUAAUUCCCUUAACGAACGAGACCUUAACUUGCUAACUAGAGAUAGUUAAAACUUAGCUAUUUUCUUCUUAGAAGGACUAUAAGUGUAAGCUUAUGGAGGUUUGAGGCAAUAACAGGUCCGUGAUGCCCUUAGAUGUCCUGGGCCGCACGCGCGAUACACUGACAAACGCAACAAGUUUUAUCCCAACCCGAAUGGGCUUAGGUAAUCUUUAUAGUAUUUGUCGUGCUGGGGAUCGAUCUUUGCAAUUAUGGAUCGUGAACGAGGAAUUCCUAGUAGGCAUAAGUCAUCAGCUUGUGCCGAUUACGUCCCUGCCCUUUGUACACACCGCCCGUCGCUCCUACCGAUUUUGAGUAAUCCGGUGAACCCCCUGGAGUGCUGUUCCCCUGGAGUGGCACGAAGUCGUGUGAACCUUAUUACUUAGAGGAAGGAGAAGUCGUAACAAGGUAUUCGUAGAUGAAUCUGCGGAUGGAUCA
RNAcentral lists this ribosomal RNA (1731 nucleotides) under Atopochilodon distichum. RNAcentral describes it as "SSU rRNA". It matches the Rfam family "Eukaryotic small subunit ribosomal RNA". Lineage: Eukaryota; Ciliophora; Phyllopharyngea; Chlamydodontida; Lynchellidae. The record is from RNAcentral.